This 529-nucleotide ribosomal RNA is filed under the name bacterium enrichment culture clone Cont20_3130. Its description in RNAcentral is "bacterial SSU rRNA". It matches the Rfam family "Bacterial small subunit ribosomal RNA", at positions 8 to 525 of the family's 1533-position model. The record is from RNAcentral.
AGAGUUUGAUCAUGGCUCAGAACGAACGCUGGCGGUGUGCUUAACACAUGCAAAGUCGAAACGCGAAAAGUUUUCUUCGGGAAGACGAGUAGAGUGGCGCACGGGUGAGUAACGCGUAAGUAAUCUACCCCGGCAUCUGGAAUAACUCACCGAAAGGUGUGCUAAUACCGGAUACGUUGGUAACAAGAAAGGUGGCCUCUGCAUAUGCUACCGUGCUGGGAUGAGCUUGCGUACCAUUAGCUAGUUGGUAGGGUAAAGGCCUACCAAGGCGACGAUGGUUAGCGGGUCUGAGAGGAUGAUCCGCCACACUGGAACUGGAACACGGACCAGACUCCUACGGGAGGCAGCAGUGAGGAAUAUUGCGCAAUGGGGGCAACCCUGACGCAGCGACGCCGCGUGGAUGAUGAAGGCCUUCUGGUCGUAAAAUCCUGUCAGAUGGAAAGAAGUGCAUAGUGGGUUUAAUACCCGCUAUGUUUGACGGUACCAUCGAAGGAAAGCACCGGCUAACUCCGUGCCAGCCGCGGUAAUA